Molecule: long non-coding RNA, 1592 nt
Organism: Bos grunniens (domestic yak)
Lineage: Eukaryota; Metazoa; Chordata; Mammalia; Artiodactyla; Bovidae
Source: Ensembl
CACUGUUCUCUCUGCGCUAGGAGCUCCUCCAGGAGAAAAGUAUUUAAGCCUAACAUAUUGUUGGUUUUGUGACAAUGGUCAUGGCACAUUAUUUAUUGUCAUUUGCGCGUCUGCCUCUCCUGGAGAAUCCACAGGAGCUGGUAGCCUGGCUGUCUCCCUCUUUCCAGCAGAUGCUACCUCUUGAAGUGCUGGGAACCUCUUGGCGCCUGCCAGGAACUCCUCGCCAUUUAAAUAUUUAUUUAUUGUUGACCACGGGAGCUGGUUUCCUAAAUGUGAAUGAUGUACUUAUUCAACCCCCAUUUUCCUAUUGCAGCAUGUUAUUUUAUUGUGAAAUAAAAAUAAAACCCAAACACGAGAUUGAUCCUGUCUGCAAGGGCCGUAUGGUCAGGGGAAGAGGGAAGGGAAGUGCUCAGGGCGGGGGGUGCCUUGUGGGAGAGCUGGUCUCCAGAAAUGUCACAGGACACACGGGGAAGCUUGCCGGUAUGUGGGCAGAGGUGCACAUCCAAGGCCCGAGUUUGCCUGGUGACUGGUUCUAACAGUGGCCUCCAGGAUGGUAACUUCCUUCAGCUGGUGACGGCCCAGCUUGUUGGGGGCUGGCGUGAGGCACUCCGCCCGUGGCAAAGGUCAUGAGGAAGGAGGCUCGACAUACGCAAAGGCGGGAUCGGGCCUCAGGAGUCCCCUGGAAAUCCUCGAGCAUCUACCCGAUAACCAGAGCCUGCCUACUUUACUACUUUGUGCUCUCACCUACACCUCUGACUUUACCACCUCUUUCUGAGAAGGAAUUAACUCAGAGCUCCAGUUAAUAAUAAUUCCUGGGCAUGACAGGAGUGUUUCAACUUACAAACUCUUCUAAAGUUUCUCUAGCCUGCCUGACAGGCUUGUCCGGCCACAUGUGAUUGCUCACAGCCUCCCAACCGUGAGAGGCACGAGAUGCUUUAAACCUUCUAAAAACAGGUUCUUUAGAGAAGUUAGAAAAUUAUUAGUAUAAGUAUAGUGGGCUGAUUAGAAAUUGUAUUGGUGAAGGGUUUUUCAUUUGUUGAGCCAAUGUUUGUUGCUAAGUCUCCACAUCCACUGCCCUUAUACACAUUAAUGAAUGUAUAGAAGAAAUAAGUAUUAACCUUUGAUAUUAAUCACGUUGGACCUUAGGCUAAGUAAAUUCUUUCCUUAAUUAAAACCCACUACACCCUCACCCUAUAAGAAUGUAACUUUAUCUGGUACCUUCGGAAGGUGGAGUCUGUUUUAAGAAUAAUCACUCCUGGAGGAAUAACUGUUGACUAACCGCUGUCACAAGGAGAGGGUCAUAAAUUGUCAGCAGGCCCCCCUGGCCAGAAGAUGAAGUAACACCCCUAAGACCUCUGUAUACAUUUGUAUGAAGCACCUGACUUUAAUAAAAGUCAGGACUGCCGUCCUCACGUGACUUUUGUAUAACAUCUCAGUGUAUAAAAACACUCUGGAAAAUAAAGAAUUGGGAUCAGUUCCUUGAAAGACUGGUCUCCCCAUGUUGCUCUCUCUCUCAAACUCUGGUUGAGUCUCCAUCUGGAGUGCAGAGCCUGCCAUGCUUACUAAUUAUGCUUGGGCUUCUAAGAUCCGAC